AACAGGGAAGCCGAAAACUGUAAAAAGAGUAAGCA
Molecule: non-coding RNA, 35 nt
Organism: Chryseobacterium sp. 39-10
Lineage: Bacteria; Pseudomonadati; Bacteroidota; Flavobacteriia; Flavobacteriales; Weeksellaceae
Source: Rfam